RNAcentral lists this long non-coding RNA (5325 nucleotides) under Brassica napus (rape). RNAcentral describes it as "long non-coding RNA (BNAP_LNC023729)". The record is from RNAcentral. Lineage: Eukaryota; Viridiplantae; Streptophyta; Magnoliopsida; Brassicales; Brassicaceae.
CGUGCAGAGAUGCGUGACGCCGAACUGGCCUCGGCCUAGCUCUUUGCCUAGAGAGUAUGAGGAUUUUACAUCUUCCAUGGGACGGCCUAAGACGGGUCCUAUGGGGCCUUGUUUUGUUGCGGGAGGAGGAGAAGGUUUGACAUAUGGCAGCUUGAGGGAGAAGCCACUUCCCGGGCUAUUCGUUUGGCUCGUUUUGUUAACACGCCUCUCUAUGUUGUUCAUGUGAUGAGUGUUGACGCAAUGGAUGAGAUUGCUAAAGCUCGAAAAGCAGGUUCUCUUUUCCUUUUUUCUUUUUCUCUGCUCCUUGUAUGGAACAACCAUUAGUGUAACAUAUAGGUUGAUUUCUAGAGUCCUUGUCAAAAGAUAAAGAGUUACCUUUUUUCUAUAAAUGUAUUUCAGGGCAGAAGGUUAUUGGAGAGCCUGUGGUGUCCGGAUUAAUCCUCGAUGACCACUGGCUUUGGGAUCCUGACUUCACAAUUGCAUCCAAGUAAGAAAAUUCUCUCAGCUCUGCUGUUCAAAGAGGUUCCCAUGUAUUCUUUCAGGUUUUGAAGUUUUUUUUUCUCUCAAUAUUUGAGGUAUGUUAUGAGUCCACCAAUUAGACCAGUAGGCCAUGGAAAAGCCCUUCAAGAUGCCCUAUCAACAGGAAUCCUUCAGGUUUGUUUCCUUGAUAUGCGUUAAGUAGAGAAACAUGAGCUAUAGGAACUGAUCACUGCACUUUCUUGGCAUUAUCUCUGCAGCUUGUAGGAACUGAUCACUGCACAUUCAAUUCUACACAAAAAGCUCUGGGACUUGAUGAUUUCCGCAAAAUACCUAAUGGUGUUAAUGGUAUAAUCUUGUUCUCUGCGCUCAUUUGUCUCUGCUUCUGUGCUAAUCUAUUCGGAUUUAUAAAAAUACUUUGGACUUGUCCAUGUUUAGGCCUUGAAGAACGGAUGCACCUGACAUGGGACACGAUGGUGGUAAGUACUCACUCAUCAGCUAAAAUCUUCUUUCUUUACAUGUGUUUUUAAUCGGUUUAUUAUAUCAUAAUCCAGGGGUCUGGCCAAAUCUCUGCUACUGAUUUUGUUAGAAUAACCAGCACAGAGUGGUACGUUUGCCAUUAAUCACUGGUUUUCUUGAUAUCGAUGAUAUGCUUUUUGAUUUCAUUUUAUUGACUAAUGAGUUUGAUUAUCAGCGCUAAAAUUUUCAACAUAUAUCCACGGAAAGGAGCUAUCCUUCCUGGCUCGGAUGCAGACAUCAUUAUACUGAAUCCAAACUCAAGCUACGAGAUUACCUCAAAGUCUCAUCAUUCAAGAUCCGACACUAAUGUCUAUGAAGGCAGAAGAGGACAGGUAAUAUAUGGAUUUUGCAAAGCCUCCUCUUGACUGAUAUGUACAAAACAAAAGUUUCUGAUGAUGACAACAUUUUUGUUCUCAGGGAAAAGUUGAAGUGACAAUAGCGGGAGGACGAAUCGUAUGGGAAAACGAUGAGCUUAAAGUUGUUCCAGGAAGUGGAAAGUAUGUAGAGAUGCCUCCUUUCAGCUACCUUUUCGAUGGGAUUGAGAAAUCUGAUGCUAACUAUCUCUCUUCUCUCCGAGCUCCGGUGAAACGUGUCAGGUCUGAAGCUACUACUUAAGUUGCAAGUAUCACCAUCUGCAAAUUCCUCAUUUGAUUCUAUAUAAGAAUAGUUGUACAUAACAUUACUUUUUUCAACAAGAUCUGAAGAGCGAUUAUGUAUAAAAUCUGUUCUCUACUCCAGUUUUUUGUUUCUUAGUUUGUUUGAGCCUUGGUCUCUGUUCUCUAUCUCAAGAACAGAUACCAAGAUCAAAAGAAAGAUUAUGAAUAAAAGCUGUUCUAUACUCUAGAAUUGAUAAUAUUGUGUUGUAGCAUGUACUCUUCACUCUCCAACACAACGCUCAAAAGCAUCCAAAUCACAAACUUCAUUUCUAAUGGGCCUUUUAAUUGGGCUUAUAACUAUUAGACUAAUUAGUUUCAACACCGUCAAUAACUGGAUCUAAAAGACGGGUUUACCCUUUACUUUAUCCGUCUAUAUAUACAGAACAUCAUCGAAACCGCAAGUACUAGAAAUUUAUUUUCCGACAGAAGAAGAUUUAUCUGUGCGACGGUAAUAACAAAUCUCCGGCGACAAGGAGAAGCAGGAGAUAGAGAGCUAUGACGACAGUCAGUCUCCGCAAGCAAAACACGAGGCUCCCACCAGAAGUAAACCGCGUGCUCUACGUCCGCAACCUCCCCUUCAACAUAACGAGCGAGGAGAUGUACGACAUCUUCGGCAAGUACGGCGCGAUCCGCCAGAUUCGGAUCGGAUGCAACAAGGACACGAAAGGCACGGCCUUCGUCGUCUACGAGGACAUCUACGACGCGAAACAAGCCGUGGACCAUCUCUCCGGGUUCAACGUCGCGAACCGGUACCUGAUCGUGCUCUACUACCAGCACGCGAAGAUGAGCAAGAAGUUCGACCAGAAGAAGAGCGAGGAAGAGGUCGCCAAGCUGCAGGAGAAGUACGGUGUCUCCACCAAAGAUAAGUAAACACGUGUGUACUCGAUUCGAUUCUGCGAUUUAGGGUUUCAAUUGGGGAAAAAAAAAUCGAACCUUUUUUGCUUAAUCUUGGUAUGUAUGUUUGAACCAUUCAAUGAAAAAUUCCUCUUUUCAGCUCCAUGUAGCUAUUAAUGUUACAAAGUGUUGUGCUUUGAUGCAGUUGAUGAUCUGGACUGGUUAGUGUUUUGCUAAGAGGUUUAGUGUUCUGCGAUUUAGGGUUUCAAUUGGGGAAAAAAAUCGAACCUUUUUGCUUAAUCUUGGUAUGUAUGUUGAACCAAUCAAUGAAAAAUACCUUUUUUAGUUCCAAUUAGCUAUUGAUGUUACAAAGUAUUGUGCUUUGAUGCAGUUGAUGAUCUUGUAUUCAGCUUUGUAUCUUUGUUCAGGAGUGGUUAGUGUUUUUGCUAAGAGGUUAAGAACAUGUAUCACUAACACAUACAAUAGAAUUGAAAAAGAAUCUCUUAAGUACAUUAAGAAACCAGAAAAUAUAAAUGUACAAUAAAUCAAACACCUUCCCCCCAAAUCCUCAAUUAAUGAUUUUUUUUUCUCCCUGCUUGAGCCUUCUCAUCUCUUAAACGAUGUCCUCCUGUUUCAAUCAUUAGUAAUCCGAGCAUGCUUUUAAUUUUUGAUUGCCUCAUUGUUAAAAGGAAGAUGAUUUUUCUCUCGACUCAUGUUCUGCUCUCUUUUUGAUAUCUUCUCUCUUCCUCUCUACUUUCAACGUUUGGUGGUGUCAUUUAAACGAAAGGUCACGCCGCUUCUUUGGGAUAGGAUCAGGGUUUCCUUUUCUCAUCAUUGCCACGAACUCGUCGUAGUUUAUCCGACCAUCCUGCAUCAGAGAUUUUGGUUAUGUUAAUAAUGAGGUUGUUAGAUGCUUUGUUUCGGUUUGAAGGGGGAGUGUUGUUUUCUUACAUUGUCUCCAUCGACCUCUGAAAUUAUCUCUUUAAUGUCUCUGCCAUCGUUCAUCCCAAACUCCCGGAGGGCUUGUUCCAGCUCUUCCAUAGUAAUAUAUCUGGGAUCAACAAGCAUCAUUUGAGGUGUUCAUUUGGAUUCAUAGCAAGCUUUGUACUUCUGUCUUUGGUGUUUGAAGUAUGUUAAGAAUCAUUUAUAUACAGUGCUUACCCGCUGUUGUCUUUGUCAAAGUGUUGGAAGGCUGAGUAGAGAUGUUCUUCUCUGUCAAGUCUGUUGAUAUGCAUUGUGGCUGCGAUAAACUCACCAUAGUCUAUUGUUCCAUUACCAUCAGCAUCAGCCUGUUCCAUCAAGAGUAAAAACAGAAAACUAGUGGUGAGUCUGCUUCCUUGUUGCCAGCAUAUGACAGAGGGUAAAAUUGUUGUUAGUAAGCAAAGGGCUUACAGCUUCCAUUAGUUGCUGGACUUCGUACUCUGACAACCUUGUACCUUGCUUAGCGAGUCCCUGUCUUAGCUCCUCGAGUGUAAUCGUUCCACUGUUGUCAGUGUCCAUACCUUUAAACAUCUCCUUCAACCCCAUGAUCUCUUCCUCUGAUAAGCAGCCUGCUAUCACCCUCAAUGCAACUUUCUUGAAAUUGUUCAUUGCUUUGAAUUGCUUGAGCCUGGACAUCACCGCAUUGUCAAGAGGAACAUCUGGUGCUUCUCCAUCUUCCUUGAUCCAUGGAUGAUCUUAACAAAAGAGAGAGAAAACAUUAAUUAUCAUGGAAAGGGAUUGUUAUACUUUAUUGGUGUGUUUUGUAGAUGCUUACUGAGAACUUGAGCAGCAGUUAGUCUUUGCUUGGGAUCAGAGUUGAGCAUCUUCUUAACAAGAUCCUUCGCCUGAGGUGAGAUGGAUGGCCAUGGAUCACUUGAGAAAUCAACAUGGCUCUUUAAGAUGGCGUUGAAUAUCCCAUUCUCCGAUUCUAUAAUCAUCAGGUAAUAAUCACAACACAUUAAUAUAUUUAAACAAAUUUUUUUUAUUUGUGGAAAAAUGAAGAAAGUGGAAAUGAUCUUGACCAGCCCAAAAGGGAGGGACACCACAUAAGAGGAUAUACAACAUGACACCAAUACUCCAAAUAUCAGCUUCUGGUCCAUACUUCCUUUUCAAAACCUCAGGCGCUAUGUAAUAAGCACUACCCACAAUAUCCUUAAACACCUCUCCCGGCUUGUAGAAUACAGACAGCCCAAAGUCAGUGGCCUUGAGAGGAGCCUUCUCAUCUUUGCUGAGCAACAAAAAGUUCUCAGGCUUCAAGUCCCUGUGAAUAACCCCCAUGGAAUGACAAGUAUGCACAAUCUGAACAAUAGUUCUCAACAAGGAAGCAGCUGCUCUCUCCGAGUAAUGUCCUUUAGCAAUAAUCCUAUCGAACAGCUCUCCACCAGCGCAAAGCUCCAUGACCAAAUGCACAGAAUGCUUAUCCUCAUACGCUCCUUUAAGCUCCACAAUGUUAGGCUGACCAGUCAGGUGAUGCAUUAUCUGCACUUCCCUUCUUACAUCCUCGAUGUCUUCUUUGUUCACAAGCUUCCUUUUGGCAAUGGUCUUGCAAGCGAACUGCUGACCUGUCGCCUUCUGAGUGCAGAGAUGCGUGACGCCGAACUGUCCUCGGCCUAGCUCUUUGCCUAGAGAGUAUGAGGAUUUUACAUCUUCCAUGGGACGGCCUAAGACAGGUCCUAUGGGGCCUUGUUUGGUUGCGGGAGGAGGAGAAGGAGGGGCGUGUUUGGAUUGUGGCACGGAGGCUUCGGCAGUUGGACCAGCGUUUGAAGCGGUUAUGCCGCGCGUGUCUCCGUUGUCGCCUGAGUCACGUCCGUUAGAGCAGCAGUUUCCCAUUGUUGCAUUAAAGGGUGAUGAGAGGAGA